Molecule: long non-coding RNA, 232 nt
Filed under: Carica papaya (papaya)
Lineage: Eukaryota; Viridiplantae; Streptophyta; Magnoliopsida; Brassicales; Caricaceae
Description: long non-coding RNA (CPAP_LNC000797)
Source: RNAcentral
CCAAAAACUAAACCUCCAACUCAUGUCUUCUUUUCUUUUAUAGGAAUGAGACGAGGAAGACCAUCUGUAGAGCAUAUUGAAUGACUUAAAGCCCUGGAUCAUGCAAUGAGGGCUGAAUUUUUAGAACUUUACUGAGCCAUUCAAGGAUUAACUGGAGCUGUAGGAAAAAACCAAGCUAACCAUAAUCUACCCCCUAACUUGAAUUCCAAAACAUAGAUCAGUCUAUCUUCCA